CAGAUACAGAGAAGAUUAGCAUGGUCCAUGCACAAGGGUGACAUGUAAAUUCAGGAAGCAUUCCAUGGUUUC
Non-coding RNA from Columba livia (rock pigeon), 72 nucleotides. The record is from Rfam. Lineage: Eukaryota; Metazoa; Chordata; Aves; Columbiformes; Columbidae.